This 1369-nucleotide long non-coding RNA is filed under the name Homo sapiens (human). RNAcentral describes it as "long non-coding RNA NONHSAT168872.1". Lineage: Eukaryota; Metazoa; Chordata; Mammalia; Primates; Hominidae. The record is from RNAcentral.
GAGGAGAAGCGCUUAAAGCGGCGGGAGCGGUGCGGGAGAGGGGUUGGACCCAGGGCUGAGGCAGGCCCCCCCCUCCCUCCCGCCUCAGUGGAUCAUGCCCAGGGCGGCAGCGGCGGCGGUUGCGGGGGGGAAGUGACUGGGCGGUGCCGGCGCCGGAGACGAUGCCGUUUCCAGUUACAACACAGGGAUCACAACAAACACAACCGCCACAGAAGCACUAUGGCAUUACUUCUCCUAUCAGCUUAGCAGCCCCCAAGGAGACUGACUGCGUACUUACACAGAAACUAAUUGAGACAUUGAAACCCUUUGGGGUUUUUGAAGAGGAAGAGGAACUGCAGCGCAGGAUUUUAAUUUUGGGAAAACUAAAUAACCUGGUAAAAGAGUGGAUACGAGAAAUCAGUGAAAGCAAGAAUCUUCCACAAUCUGUAAUUGAAAAUGUUGGAGGAAAAAUUUUUACAUUUGGAUCUUACAGAUUAGGAGUGCAUACAAAAGGUGCUGAUAUUGAUGCGUUGUGUGUUGCACCAAGACAUGUUGAUCGAAGUGACUUUUUCACCUCAUUCUAUGAUAAGUUGAAAUUACAGGAAGAAGUAAAAGAUUUAAGAGCUGUUGAAGAGGCAUUCGUACCAGUUAUUAAACUCUGUUUUGAUGGGAUAGAGAUUGAUAUUUUGUUUGCAAGAUUAGCACUGCAGACAAUUCCUGAAGAUUUGGAUCUACGAGAUGACAGUCUGCUAAAAAAUUUAGAUAUAAGAUGUAUAAGAAGUCUUAACGGUUGCAGGGUAACCGAUGAAAUUUUACAUCUAGUACCAAACAUUGACAACUUCAGGUUAACUCUGAGAGCUAUCAAACUAUGGGCCAAACGCCACAACAUCUAUUCCAAUAUAUUAGGUUUCCUCGGUGGUGUUUCCUGGGCUAUGCUAGUAGCAAGAACUUGCCAGCUUUAUCCAAAUGCAAUAGCAUCAACUCUUGUACAUAAAUUUUUCUUGGUAUUUUCUAAAUGGGAAUGGCCAAAUCCAGUGCUAUUGAAACAGCCUGAAGAAUGCAAUCUUAAUUUGCCUGUAUGGGACCCAAGGGUUAGUGUAUUAUUUUUUCCCCUACCAAUUCACACUGUGCAAUAACAAGUAAAAAUCAUCUGCAUAAACUCCAGGGAGACUUCCAGCCUUUUACUUAUGAAUGGUCAUGUCCGUAUUACACUUUCUUUUAGAUAACCUCAACUAUAAUUGUCCUCAACUAUAAUUGAUGUGAGAAGCAUAAUUAUGUACCCUGUAAACCACAUUUAAUUGUACAUAGUUUUUAAUACAGAUUUUACUAACAUUUUAAUUUAUUCUAUAUAGAACUACCUUGUAAGUCAAAGUUGUGUGGGCAUUUGUGC